UAAAACCUCCCCGUCUGCGCUCCGGCACUUUGGUGGUGCUCCGCGUGGAACGGUAACGUCAAACUGUCCUGUCCGUUUGGAAUCGAGUCCUGGUAGUAAAACCUCGUGUCUUGGAUGCCCAUUUUGAAGUCCGCAUUUCAUCAGGAAUGCUGACGCAGUGAAUGAUGGGGAAGGAGCAGCACACCCUGAACAUGUAGUAUGAGGUCCACCGGUCUGGACUGAGAAGGUGAGGAGGGGUCCUGCAGACGAAAUGCCAAGCUUAUCUAUUCUUCAGACAGUUUAGGACCUGCGUUUGACAGAAGAAGACAGCUGUGCUCUUCCACAUUCCUCUGGCUUGCUCUGCAGGCCCCAAAUGAUCGGCCCCCCAAAGCAUGGCUUUCUCUUAUUGGCAGAAGGAGCGUACAGUCCGCUUUCCCUUCCAUCACUCCCCAAUGUCAGAAACGGGCCCCCCACUGUCGCCCACUUGGCGAACAUUAAGAAAUCAUCACCGCUGUCAGGACUACUGUCAGACAGGGGUCAUCGCAUGUAAUGCAGAAUCAGCAGCCUCUUGGGAACCGACCAGCAGGACCGUUUGGAGAAAGCUGACUCUUAAAGAUGUUAAAAACCGCAUGAGAUCUGACGUGCCCCACCGCAUCUGCUCUGACUGAAAUCAUGAAUGAGCAAUAGUGUGUGUCUCUGUCUGUAUCUGUUGGCACAUAGCCUGGAAAAAGUAUGUGGGCCAGUGUCAAGUCUCAUUUUCGUUGGUGAGCCGUGACACCCAUAAAUCACUGCAAAAGCCCAUUAAAUCCACUUUUGUAUAUGGUCUGUAACAAGGCAAUACGAGCAGGAGUUUUGUAUCUUAAUACAUGUGGGGAGGGACUGACAGGAGGAAAACAGGACAGAGAGAUAGUGUGGAAAAAGACAUCAGCCCUUAUAGAAACGGAUUGUUGCUGGGCAAUGUGCAAGCAAAUGACUGUAAGGAUAGAACUAAAGACACGUAAAAUUUGAGUAACACAAACUCCUAGGCAGAAAAAAAACACUUCUGAUGCAGUUUCAUGCAUUUUUUUUUCAACUGCUUACACACAAUUACUGAAACCUGACACUCAAACACCAGAACCACACGCCAAAUCUGCAAAACCAUACACUAAUUCUUGGCCUUUGACUCAGUUUUCAAUUUCAUAAAUCACUUUUUUGCAAAACACAACACACAAUUCGCUAAAACACAAAAAUCUAACAGGAAGUAUCUUGAUUUCCUUUUUCAAACACAAUCAUUGUUUCUGUCCAACUACACAUGGUUGAUGUAUUUCUUCUUCCUUCGUACUGUGUGAUACUAUAUUCACAACCACAAAUGCUUACAGUAAAAAAAUAAGUUUGGUUUCA
Molecule: long non-coding RNA, 1359 nt
Organism: Megalobrama amblycephala (Wuchang bream)
Lineage: Eukaryota; Metazoa; Chordata; Actinopteri; Cypriniformes; Xenocyprididae
Exons: 2
Source: RefSeq, a predicted model, not a curated record